Non-coding RNA from Prunus mume (Japanese apricot), 423 nucleotides. The record is from RefSeq and is a predicted model, not a curated record. Lineage: Eukaryota; Viridiplantae; Streptophyta; Magnoliopsida; Rosales; Rosaceae.
GAGAUGCCAUGUGAUUGGUUUGAUUCCCAUGUUAGUGGUCUUGUUGCUCAGAGCAGUAAGUGCUCAAGCCUUUUAAUCAGAAAUCAAGAUGUGAAUGGACGGCGGAAAAGAUAGAGGGAAAAAAAAAAGAAGAAAAAAAAAAGACUACUUGAGAAUUAAGGGAAAAAAAAGGAGAAUUAUUUUCCUUGUCUUAAUAACUCUAGUCAUUAGGGAGAGAGGUGUUAGUAUAGUGCUGCUGCUGAUGAGGACGUCUGGAAGGAGGCAGUCUAGAGAGAGAGAGUUAUUGAUUUAUUUGAUCACUUUUGUAUUUGUCGUAGUACGUAUCUGUGUCAUCUUGGAUUGUGUUGUUACUGUGUAUGGACUAUUUCACCUUAUCUAUUCAAGAUUCUUGCAGAAAAAUAAAAAAAACCAUAUAAGCUCUGA